RNAcentral lists this long non-coding RNA (480 nucleotides) under Cricetulus griseus (Chinese hamster). RNAcentral describes it as "lncRNA (ENSCGRG00015036312.1)". The record is from RNAcentral. Lineage: Eukaryota; Metazoa; Chordata; Mammalia; Rodentia; Cricetidae.
ACUGCAUAAUGUUUCUCAAGAGCCUGUAAACCAAGUGGCUUCAGGAAUUAAAUAACUUUCCCGGCCCCCGCCCGGGACGACGGAAGAAUAAGAAGCUGCACUCUAGAGACAGCGGCAAGGACCAACGCCCACCCACUCAGGCGCUCACUCCCACGGGAGGAACCGGUUUAUGGAGUCUAUCAAAAUGCAUGCUGUUGCUCGUCCUUGUAUACUUCUGGAUAUUUGGGGGUUUGCUCUUUCCCGUCUUCUGGAGCCUUUCGGAGUCCUCCGUGGGAGCACCCCAGUUCUGGUUCCGCGGGGUCGGGUGCGCGUGCUGCAGCAGUUUUUCAGGGGUGCUGGGCUGAGAAUUGUGGAGAGGUCAGCCCCCAGGGAGGCUGAGCAUCUGCAGGGACAUCUACUUUUCGAGCAGUUAACUUGGAAGACCAGUAGCUUCGUUUCCUCAGUUCCUACCUAGUACCUGAGAAGCCCUUCCUGGAGGAC